RNAcentral lists this non-coding RNA (167 nucleotides) under Agreia sp. COWG. Its description in RNAcentral is "FMN". It matches the Rfam family "FMN riboswitch aptamer (RFN element)". Rfam says of the family: The RFN element is a highly conserved domain that is found frequently in the 5'-untranslated regions of prokaryotic mRNAs that encode for flavin mononucleotide (FMN) biosynthesis and transport proteins. Lineage: Bacteria; Bacillati; Actinomycetota; Actinomycetes; Micrococcales; Microbacteriaceae. The record is from RNAcentral.
ACGUGCUCCGGGGUCGGUGGAAUUCCGAACCGGCGGUGAUAGUCCGCGAGCCGCGCGAGUAACCCUCCUCCAGAGGGAGACGAACGCGGUUGACCUGGUGGAAUUCCAGGGCCGACGGUAACGAGGCAGCUUCAUCGCCUCCAAAGUCCGGAUGAGAGGUAGCACGC